AGAAGGGAUGUGUGACCACAUGGCACCUGCCUCAGCUAACGUUCUUGUGACAAUGUCAAUCAGGGGGGAGAGAAACAGGCUCGCCACUCCCCACAGCAGCCUCUCCUCUUAUGACCCUGCCCCCUCUGUUUUUCUUAAUAUCCUCUGGGUCACUGAACAGUGAACAUCUGACAACACUUUCUGCAGUUUCUCCUCCUGCAAGUACACACACUCACGAACACACACACAGAGAUAAGCACACACACAUGCACACACACAGAUAAGCACAUGGACCUUCACUCUGCUCAACUCAGAUUUAUGCUAAUUCGCCCUCCAUUAUCUCUCCUCUUUUCCAGUCCUUUCCAAUGUCAUUACUAUGAUGUCACUCCGCUUGCUGCCACAGCCCCACAACUCACCCACAUGGUGCUCUGUUCCCAGGACAGUCAGUGGUGGGAGCACCAUUGCUGCCAGAUCAUUCUCUAAAAGCAAGGGCCGGCAAACAUUUUAUAAAGGGUCAGGUAGUAAAUACUUUGGGUCCUGCAGGCCCCAAGAUCUAUGCUGCAAUUAAGUCUGCCAUCCAAACAGUGUGGCUCUGUUUCAAAAACACUUCAUUCACUAGAAUAGGUAGAGGCCAGAGUUGGCCCUGUUCUUAAGCAAAACUCACUGUCACCCCACAACCAUUGUCCACACAUUCUCAGUUGUUCUUAGCUGAGGAUUAAACCUACUAAACACCUCUUCUUAUCUGAGGUUUGACAGUUUUUCCUCUGGGCGCCCCUCCCUCUCACUGUAGGUCUCAGCUUCCUGCCUCACCAAAUCGUCCUUCUUCUGAGUAUACCCAAUUGUAUGCUUCUUCUACCAAAAUUGGUUUGUUAAAAAUCUUCCUGAUCUUUCAGAUCCAUCUCUAUAAUAGCUCUGUACCCCACAGCUCUUUUCAGAGCAAAUUUAUCUCAGAGAGUCAGGAAGAAGUCAUUGGCGAUUAAUGAUCCUACUGAUAGGCUUCAGUAGAGAAGAUACUUCUGUCACCUUGUCUAAGACAGUUAGACCACUGCUCUUCACUAUAAAUUCUUCUCCUUGUGGAGUGAGGUGCCCACAUCCUCUCAAAUCUGAGCAGGCUCUGUGAUUCCUCCGACCACAAAAUAUGGCAAAAGAAACUAAGCUUUCAGUCUCAUGGGUGAGACUGGCAUUGCCACUUUCUCUGCCUGGAACUCCCUCUGGGAGCAACACCAUGGGAAGAAUAUGACUAAUUUGAGACCAGCUGCCAUAUCCUGGAUGCCAGAUGUUGGGGCUCAGGCGAAAGGUCUUAGGCGAGCCAGCCUCCUGUGCCCAGCAAGGUCCAGAUGUGUGAGCUCAGUGGUUUUGAGUCAUCCCCAUUAGUCCAUCCACAGCACCACACAUCUGAAUGGUAUCCACCUGCAGCACAGGAACCCAAGGAAUCGUCCAGCUCAACCCUGCCCAAGCUCCCCACCUACAGAAUCAAAGACAAAACACAGUGGUUGCAAUUUCUAAAGUCAUUACCUUUGGAGCUUUUUCAUAACAGGACAGUAAAUGAAUACAACAGAGGCUUCCAGGCCUGCACACCCACUCUCCCUGGUCGAUAGGAAUUUCACACUCCCAUUCAUUUUGUUAGUUGCAUUCCCCUGUGCCUAGAAUGAUCCUCUGCUGUUAAUUAUCCCUUGCAUUCUUCCUUUUAUUGCCUUUUAACAACCUUAUUUUACUUUUUCAGUAUCAUGUGAAAUAUUGUCUCCCCUAGAACUCUGUUCUGAGUUAUUCACCGAUUCUUUAAUCUCCAGGCACAUGGUUUAGAGGUUCAUCAAGGUGGUUGAGUUGUUUGGAGGAGUUUCUUUUACUGUGUUUGCCUUCUCCAGUGGGUAGCGAUUUUUUCAGAGGAAAGAACCAUGCCUUCCUCAUGUGUGCAGCUAUGCUCUUGGGGUGGUCAUUGGCCAUUAGCAGUCCCUUAACAAGCCUUUUUUGAGUUAAUCAAUGCAUAUAAGAUAUGGGAUUUGCACUCUUGAAGUUGACCUGCUGGGUUUAAGUUGAUGAAGGAAAUCUGCUGUGUUCCCAACAAAUCAAAUCCAAACUUUCCCCUUCCUCAUUUCAAAGGAAAAGCAAAAUAAGUUUUGCUCAUUUGCAACAUCUAAUGUAUUUCAGGAAAAAAAAAAUGGAAGGUAUGUUUUGCUCUGAUAAUAAGUAAUCUUUAGUUCACGGUAAUUUAAUGUGGCAAAGGUUUAUUUCUCACAUGUCACAGUCCAGUGCAGAUUAGGAGCUUCCAGGUCAACUCUCCUCCAAAGGUGGCCAGGUAUUCAGUCUUCUGUCCAAGACCUCUACCAGUACUGGAGUCCUUUCCAUCUAGUCAAAGAGAUAGCAGGAGGUAGGCUGGGGAGCACAGACCACUAUUGAUUGCAUGAGACAGAGUGAUAUAUCAUUUCUCAUGUUCCGCUCGGCAAGCACUAAAUUACAUGGUCUCCACCCCAAAACAGAGACAACUGCAAAUGUAGUCUUUUCGUGCAUCCAGGAAGAGGAAAGGAUAUGGAAAUAUACACUGUCUCUGUUACAGAGGUGACAAAGAACCAACUCCAACAACUCAUGGUUUAAAUCACCUAUUUUAUCUAUUUUUUUUUUCUUUAACAAAGGAUCCCUCAGCCAAGUGGUCCUUGAGGCUCAUUUUCUUACCUGAAGCUGAGAGUCUAGCACAAUGAUUCUCCAGUGGGAUCACUUAACCCCCCUCUCCACCAUCAGGGGAAUUCUGGCAGUGUCUGGACACAAUCUCGAUUGUCAUAACCCAGGGACUUUACCAGCCUUUAGGGGAUAAAGGUCAGGGAUGCUGAAAAUCAUCACCCACACAGGACAAGGGCCUACAGCAAAGAACCACUUGGUCCAAAAUGUUAGUAACGGGGAGGUGGAGGAUGAGCUGCCAGAGGCUGUAGCUGCUCAGUCCAGGGAGAAGCUGCAAGGAUGCAAUCCUGCUCCACGCCAUAUUCCACCCUCCAGCAAGGACACAAGUAUGUCUCUACAAGGCAGCUCCACAAUUCUCAAGGGCAGCAAUGGGGACCAAGCUCUGUGUGAGCAUUUUUAAGCCUCUGUUUUGGUCUGUUUGUCAAUGUCCCACUGGAAAGCAAUUUAGCUCUUAGGGGAAGAGCUGAAAAUUGGCUGUUUUUCAAGCUAAAAGAAAAAUGUUAUGUGAUAUUUGGAUGGAAGCCCUAUUUUGUAGCCUCAAGCUCUAUUUAAUAAAUAGGUAUAAAAAUUCAAUGCAUUACAAUAACGUGUUCCUUUUUACACAGAACAUUCACAGUGAUUUGUAAUGUUCAAACUGUGAGAUAUGGUGUCAAUUGUC
Molecule: long non-coding RNA, 3310 nt
Filed under: Marmota monax (woodchuck)
Lineage: Eukaryota; Metazoa; Chordata; Mammalia; Rodentia; Sciuridae
Source: RNAcentral